GACGAACGCUGGCGGCGUGCCUAAUACAUGCAAGUAGAACGCUGAAGGAGGAGCUUGCUUCUCUGGAUGAGUUGCGAACGGGUGAGUAACGCGUAGGUAACCUGCCUGGUAGCGGGGGAUAACUAUUGGAAACGAUAGCUAAUACCGCAUAAUAGCAGUUGUUGCAUGAUAACUGUUUGAAAGGUGCAAUUGCACCACUACCAGAUGGACCUGCGUUGUAUUAGCUAGUUGGUGGGGUAACGGCUCACCAAGGCGACGAUACAUAGCCGACCUGAGAGGGUGAUCGGCCACACUGGGACUGAGACACGGCCCAGACUCCUACGGGAGGCAGCAGUAGGGAAUCUUCGGCAAUGGACGGAAGUCUGACCGAGCAACGCCGCGUGAGUGAAGAAGGUUUUCGGAUCGUAAAGCUCUGUUGUAAGAGAAGAACGAGUGUGAGAGGGAAAGUUCACA
RNAcentral lists this ribosomal RNA (453 nucleotides) under Streptococcus mitis. Its description in RNAcentral is "bacterial SSU rRNA". It matches the Rfam family "Bacterial small subunit ribosomal RNA", at positions 28 to 468 of the family's 1533-position model. The record is from RNAcentral. Lineage: Bacteria; Bacillati; Bacillota; Bacilli; Lactobacillales; Streptococcaceae.